GCCACCCCAUGGUAGAAGAACUUAAUCUCCCUGCCUGAUUGAUAUGCCACCAAAUUCCAUAUUCAGACACCAGCUGAGACUUCAUUUUUGGUCGGUUUAUCUUUUUUCUUUCCGGGAUCUUGUUGAGCUUUUUGUACAACAGCCUUAUUUGGAACCAAAACUAUGAAUAUAUUCCUGUCUUUGAAGUUCUUGCUUUCCUCAGUUGCAAGCUGCAGAUCAGGACAGAGUUUAGGAUGUAAAGUUAAGAGCUGCUUUCAGGUAAUGGAAGUGAAACCCAAACAAAUGCAUUGAACAGCAUAAAAUGGAUGAAGGGAACGAACACCAUUGGAAGUUAAGACUCAAACACCAUAAGCAGGUGAGUUGCUAAUUAUUCUGUUCGGAGAUCAUUUUUCCGUUUCAUUCGCCAACACAUACUAUCCAAUCUGGCAAAGAACAUUUAAUUAUGAUUUUCUAUUGUGGAACUACUUGAUUACAUUUUUUAAAAAGAAAAUAAAAUGCUUGUGAUUAGAAAAGAAAAAGACUUGAAAUCAUAAUACUACUUGAAAGAAAUUACCUUGGUUAAAUCAGAAUACUAGUUAAUGUCACCUCGUUCCUGGAAAUGCUUAAAACAACUCUCAUUUCAACUUGAAAAGAAGUUAAAUUUGUCAUCUACGCAUACUGCUUAAUUCAUGAUUUCAUCUAAAAACAAUUUACAAUAUGGCACCGUUGGAAAUUUGAGAACUUUAUAUGAUUUUAAUAACUCUUUCCACCUUGAACAUAGCAUAUUUGAUAUUGAUGAAAGGAGGAAAAAGAAAUACUUAAUGAAUUACCUCCCCAACGUCAUUCUGAAAACGCCUGAUGAGUUCCAUAGCCAUAUUUCUAAAUUCGUUUUCUCGACCUUUCAAGUUCACUAUGACCUUAACCUGAAAGCAUAGAUCAAAACAUUUCACUGCUAUUGAACUCCAAAACAAAAUAAGGCCUAUUAUUUCACUUCAAGCAUAACUAUUAUAACCCCCCCCCCCCCAAGAAAAAAAAAACCCCCCACCUUAUCACCAUCAUUCAGAAACUUCCUUGCAGCUUUCAAACGAACAGAAUAAUCAUGUUGAUCAAUGUUAUAACUGUUCAAAAGAAACAAAAGCAAUUCAGCCAAAAAACUAGAAAGUGCUCAAAAUGGUUAUUCAUUAUAGCUUUAAAAUAAAGUUCUUGAUAGAAGCUAAGGUGAUACGAGUUACUCUUGCAAAUUUUUACCCCAACUGUUGAUCAAGAAGAUACAUUUGAUUGAACAAAGGAACUUGAGAAUUUUGGUGAAGGAAAAUUUUUCUUUUAAUCAAGGAAAUACAGCCUAAUACUUAUAUUAGGAUGAUGGCAUUUCAGUCCAUUAUUAUAGGAAAAAUAAUAGAACAAUCCCACAAAGUUAGGAAUCUUAACAAACUAGGAAAGCACUAGGAAUCAGUUAAUGACUAAUCCUAUUUCUUAGGAAACUAAAUAAUAAAUCCUAAUCUACCAGAUUACAGCCUAUGAGCAAUUUCCUAAUAUAUACAAACUAAUUCGGCUCCUUUCUACACUCCCCCUCAAGCUGGGGUGUAUAUAUUAUACAAUCUCAGCUUAGAGUUGAAUUCAUCGAAGCUGAUUCUUGGAAGAGCUUUGGCGAGAAUGUCAGCAAGCUGCAGUUGAGUAGGGAUGUAGCUCAGUUGGACUAUUCCAUUGUUGACCUUCUCUAAAAUGAAAUGCCUAUCAAUUUCUACAUGCUUGGUCCUGUCAUGGUGUACUGGAUUUUUAGCCAUGCUUAUUGCAAAUUUACUGUCACUAUGUAUUUUUAUCUGGUCCUUAAAAUCUUAGAAAUCUCUGAAUCCACGUUCCUUCGCAAAUGCCCAAAGCAAGAGCACGAUAUUCUGACUCUGCACUACUUCUUGACACCACUGACUACUUUUUGCUUCUCCAUGUAACAAGAUUGCCCCAAACAAAGGAGCAGUAACCACUUGUGGAUCUUCUUUCAAUCGAUUCUCUAGCCCAACUAGCGUCAGUGUAUACCUCUAUCUCACGGAUUUCACUCUUUUUGAAGUGUAAACUGUGGCCUGGUGUCAUCUUUAGGUAUCUUGGAAUCCAAUUCACAGCCUCUAAAUGUUCCUCAGGUGAAUCAUUCAUGUGCUAGCUAACAAAACUUACUAAGAAUGCAAUGUUUGGCCUCGUGUGUGAGAGAGAGAUCAACUUGCCCACUAAUCUUUGAUACUGCCCUUUAUCCACUGGUACACUCUCCUCAUUUUUCCUUAAACUUUAGGUUGGGGUUCAUAGGCAUCUUUGUAAGUUUACACCCAAGCAUGUCCGUCUCAAUUAGCAAAUCUAAUAUGUACUUUCUUUGGGAUAUAACAAUCCCUGCCUUAGAUCAAGCAAUCUCCAUGCCUAGGAAAUAUCUGAGAGCACCAAGAUCUUUAAUUUCAAACUCAGUAGCAAGUAAUCUUUUGAGUUUGAUAACUUCCUCUGAGUCAUCUCUAGUUAGAAUGAUUUUGUCAACGUAGACAAUGAGAAUAGCAAUUCUACCUUUUGAUGAGGAUUUCACAAAUAAGGAAUGAUCUGUCUGGCAUUGGUUGUAUCCAUUUGUGACUAGUGUUUUGGCAAACCUGUCAAACUAGGCACAAGGUGAUUGUUUUAGCCCAUACAAAAUGACUUCUUCAGCUUGCACACUUGAUGGCUGUUUGAGGAGUUUUCUAGACCUGGAGGUAUUUCCAUGUAAAUGUCUUCUUCAAGAUCUCCAUUCAAAAAGACAUUUUUGAUAUCUAGCUGAUGCAAAGGCCAGUCUUUAUUUACUGCUAGUGACAAUAGUACUUGAACCAUGUUUAACUUGGCAACAGGUGCAAAUAUUCCUGAUAAUCGAUUCCAUAUGACUAAGUAAAGCCCUUUGCCACCAGCCUGACUUUAAACCUCUCAAUACUUCCAUCUGCUUUAUACUUAACUGUAAAUAUUCACUUGCAACCCACUGGCUUCUCCCCUUGAGGUAACUCUGAAAGAGUCCAAGUUUCAUUGCUAUCUAGAGCCCUGAUUUCUUCCUCAAUAGCCUUCUUCCAUGUUGGAUUUUUCAAAGCUUUUUGAAUGGAAUUUUGGAUUUGUAUACUAUCAACAGCUGAAAUAUAUGCUUUAUAUGAUGGCAACAAUUUCCCAUAUGCCACAUAUUUCUCAAUAGGGUGGUCUGUACAUUUUUGGACAUUCUUUCUUUGAGCAAUAGGCAAAUCAGAAUCAUCAACAAAAGGAACAAGUGGCUCACGAGUUGAAGAAUCCAUACCAGUGUAAAAUUCUGAAGCAGGAGGCUCCGGUUCAAGUUCUUGACAAUCUCUGAUUUGAGUGGCAUUCUCUAGAUUUUCAAUAGGUCAUCCCCUCCUAGAAUAGACACAAAAGUUCCGAUGAUUGGUACCAAGUUGAGGUUGAGUGGACUCAUGCAAUUUAGACUCUAAUGGUGUGUCAUUUGGACCUGAUGUGAAACUGAGAUUCGGAUUUUUAGGAGAUAUUUGAGAACUUGGAACAGGGUAAGGAUGUCGGAUUGACACUUUGGGGUGAAAUAUACACGGAUUGAGUCUCUUGAAGAAUGUCCCGAAGCUAAAAUUCCCUUGAGUUCUCCCCUCUGAAUUGCAGAUUUGGAAAAAUAGGAUUGGUGUUCAAAAAAAGUGACAUCCAUGGAAUUGUACAUCUUUCGAGUAACAUGUGAGGAACACUUGUACCCUUUUUUAUUAGAAGAAUAUCCUAGGAAAAUGCAUUUUACUGAUUUGGGAUCGAAUUUGGUUCGAUGUUGUUGGUAUAUGUGAACAAAUGUUGAACAGCCACAGACUCUAAGUGGAAAAUUAGAAGAAAAAGAUUUAGCAUGAAGGAAGGCUUGUAGGAGGACUUCAUGAGGUCUCUGGAAUUGUAGCACUCGACUAAUCAUUCUAUUGAUGAGAUUGGUGGCAGUAAGGAUGAUUUCACCCCAAAAGUGUUUAGGUACAUGAUUAGUAAACAUUAGUGAUCUAGCUACCUCAAGUAAGUGUCUAUUUUUUUCUCUCGGCUAUCCCAUUUUGCUGAGGGGUGUCAACACAAGAACUCACAUGAAUAAUUCCUUGUGUCAUGAAAUAGAAACCCAAGGCUGAUGUAAAAUACUCCCUGCUAUUAUCGGUCUUAAGAAUCUGAAUUUUACUUUUGAACUGGGUGUGAAUCAUAGAAUAAAAAGACCUGAAGAUUUCCCCAGUUUUGGAUUUUUCCUUCAUAAGGAAUGUCCUGGUGGUUCUAGUAUGAUCGUCCAUGAAAGAUACGAACCAACAAUCCCCAUUAAUAUUUUUCACUCGUGAGGGUCCCCAAAUGUCCCUAAGAAUUAUAGAGAAUGGAUGUGAUGGCUUAUAUUGAAUGCUAGGAUAAACAUGUCAUGUGUUUUGCAAGUCGACAUAUUUCACUAUGAAAAAACUUGGAAUUUUUAUAGAUGAACAAAUGGGGAAGCAAUUUUUCAAGGUACACAAAAUUUGGGUGACCAAGGCGGAAUUGCCAUAACAUGACUUGAUUCUCAUUUGAAACAGAAACAGAAUUAGAGAAAGAGUUAGAAACAGACUCAGAACCACAACUUGAAUGAACUUGUCCAUGUAGAAGAGAGUUCCUUUUGAGCAAGUAGAGACCACAAAUUUCAGCACUGCCAAUCACCUUCCCCGAAUCUGCUGCCUGAAAUUCACGAAGAUUUGGAUAAAAUUUAGUCACACAGUUCAAGUCACGGGUGAGUUUACUAAUAGAAAUCAGAUUGCGUCUAAUUAUGGAACAUAAAGGACAGAUAAGAGGUCCUUUGUCAAUUUGAUUGAUCCAAUUACUGCCACUUUUGAGAGUGAUCCAUCUACAAUUCGUACUGUAGAGGGGCUUGAUUAUGGACUGAACUUGUGAAAGACAUUAAUGUCACCGGUCAUGUGGCCUGAAGCUCCAGCAUCAACUAUCCAUGGUCUUAAUUUUCUGGUUGUUGCAAUAUGGGCAAAGGAAAAUGUACCUUGAUGUACUAGCAUGUUAGUAUGUUGUUCGGUAGUGGGUGAUAUAUGUCCGAGUAAUUUCUACAGCACCUCAAUUUGCUCCCUGGUGAAUGGAUUGAUUUCAGUGCUAGUGUUGGUGUUGUCAGAAGUGUUGGCAACAUUUGCACGAUUGUCCCGAUCCUAGCGUGUUCGGUUAGGCCUCCAAUCAACAGGCUUCCCAUGUAAUUUCCAGCAAGUUUCUCUGAAGAGACCAGGUUUCUUACAAUGGUCACACCAUGGCCUUCCUUUUCUUUGCUUGUUAUCCUCAGAUCUGUGUGUACAAGACUGAGCCUUCAGCAACUGGGGAACUCAUAUUUUCUGUCAUCAUCGGUUUCUUCCUACUUUCUUCUCUUCUAACUUCAACAAAUGUCUCUCAGAUGGAAGGCAGAGGCCUGCUACCCAAGAUUCUACCCCUUCAUCCAAAUCCUUAUUGAGACCAAGGAGAAAUUUGAAUGUUCUCUUUUGAUCAACAAUCUUUUUGUGUAAAGUUGCAUCAUCUGGACACUUCCAAGGGUAUAUUUAAAACAUAUCAAGGUGCUGCUAGUACCAGGUUAUUGUGCUGAAAUAUUGAGUGAUAGUUAUCUCCCCUCGUCGUAGAUCAUGAAGUCAAGUUUCAAUUUCAAAAAGUUUAGAGGUAUUUUCGGAACUAGAGUAAGUUUCUCUUGCCCUAUCCCAGAUUUCCUUGGUUGCUUUGUAGAGAAAGAAAUUUUCUCCAAUUUCCAUGGUUAUGGAGAUUAUUAGCCAUGACAUGACCAUGUGAUUUUCAAUCUUCCACAUGCGAUACUUGGGAUCCAUUGUCGCCGGAAUAGGAGCAUCAGUGAGAUAAUCAUCCUUGCCCUGCCAAAAAUAAACAUAAGGACGGAUUGUGACCACUGAAGAAAAUUGUGGCCAUUGAGUUUGUGACUAGUGAUAGGAAGAGGAGAGUUUUCAAUGAUAUUGGCUGAGGAGUUUUCAUAGUUUUUAGCUGAGGGAUUUUGCUCGGGUCUGGAAUUGACUUCUGAGGAGGAGGUGGUUUGUGCAUCCAUGUCGUAUUAGGGUUUAGAGCCUAGCUCUGACGCCAUGAGAAUUUUGGUGAAGGAAAAUUCUUCUUGAUUAUCAAGGAAAUACAGCCUAAUACUUAUAUUAGGAUGACCGGCAUUCCAAUCCAUUAUUCUAGGAAAAAUAAUAGGACAAUCCUACAAACUCAGGAAUCUUAACAAACUAGGAAAGCAACUAAUUAGGAAUCAGUUAAUGACUGAUCCUAUUUCUUAAGAAACUAAAUAAUAAAUCCUAAUCUACCAGAUUACAGCCUAUGAGUAAGUUCAUAACAUAUAGAAACUAAUUCGGCUCCUUUCUACAGAACUCAUAUAUCAAGAAAGAGACCGGGCAAAGUUGGAUUCAAUAUCAAGCACGAGUACUUCACUGAGAUAGUACCAUUCAUAUGACACUACCAUGGUAAAUUACCAGAGUUUUCUACCUCCAGUGUUAAUAAAUGAUAAUAGAAAUGACACUUUUUUAUAAAGCCACAAGCCUAAACCCUAUUAAUAUCAGGCUUUUCCUUUAUAUGCAAAUUCAACAUAGGAAAGGCAGGCUCCAGAAAACAGCUCAAAAUAGGUUAAAUUGCAAGCCUCGUAUGGGGUUUAUGCGCAAGAGUGGAUUGUGCAUAUGCUUCUUGAAACAUCAUGUAAAAAAACAGAAGGUAUCAGGGUCUGUCAUCUUUCUUUCCCAAGAGAGACAACUGUUUUUUCACAAAUAAAUAAAAUGCAUAUUAAUGUUAAAAUGAUAAAACAUCUCAAACUUAUAAACUAACAAAAAUCAAGAUAUUAAACGGUAGGAUUAUAAUUCAUUUAUGAAGUCAUGGGUGUUUAAAACAAAAAUUAGAUACCCGCACAAAGAAUAUAUGGGGACAGACAACAGUCACCAGAAAACUGACAGAAAAUUUUAACAGCAAGCAAAUAUCUAUGAAGUAUGCUUAUGAAAUAAAUUCACGAAGAGAAACUUAUUUUGUAAUUAUAGAUGAUAAUUGAACAUUAACAAAACCAAAAAGACACUGUAAUUUUAUAAAAGCCAAAAAGUGGGGAGAUUAAAGACAAAUAACUACAUAAAGCUAUAAUGCAAAAUACUUACCCCAUUUUCAGUUCCUUCAAAUCCAUGCGAUUAGCUGACAGUUAAAAUAGUAGUUUAUUCAGCAUCAAGCAACAAAAGAAAAGAAAGUUUCAAUCAUGAAUCAAAGAGAAAUGCACAAGGGAGUGCUAAAUCCACAGUCAAUCUGGUUGGGUCCACAGAAUCAUAUCAUAAAGAUAUUAAAUUAGAACAGAGCUACUUUGCCACCAGCCAGAUGGUAUAUGAGUUUAGCAUUCCCCAAUAAAAAUAAAAAUAAACUCUAGCAAAGAGGACAUUAACACGCACUUUUCUUCUGCUGUACUUUCUUCUUCUUUUGCUGUUCAUAUCUAUACUUACUGAGGAAAAGGUAAAAGCAAGUAUAUUAAUACACUUCAAAAUGAAAUUUCAGAAGGAAAAGAUAUGUAAGACUAAGACUAUUAAUUAAGCUUCUUUUUUUAAUAUGAGUCUAAUAGUGCUGUCUUCAAUAACAUGGACAUCAAGGCGGAUCCAAAGGGGGGCAGGCAAGGGCCUUGACUGCCCCUUGGUUAAACUGGAGAAAUUGCAUUUUGGCCCCUCUCAAAAAUUAAUAAUUGAAUGUGGGUCUUUAACACGAUCAUUUUUUGGCUAUGCCUCCCCCCACCCCGUAACCAAUGACAAUUUAUGAUUUUAUCUUGGUCUCUUAACACAAUUUCUAGCUUUGCUCCUGGGGGACAUGACUAAUUGAUAAACAACAUCAUUAAGAUAUCAAUUUUUGAAAAUUUUAGAUGGGAUUUCAGUUUCUUCAGUAGGGUAGAUGAAGAGACAAGGUAGACUCAACUUUUUUCCCACACCUUUUAUUUACAUUACAUUGAGAGGGUACAUAGAGUUACUUCUGUCUCAUUUAAAAGGGAUACUCCAAACUUAUAUCUUUUUCCCCAGCUUAACUAUCAAAAAAGAUCACCAUUUGGCAGCCGUUUUUAUUUCAGAACUAUUUCUUCUAAACUGGCAGAAGAAAUUUUCCAUAAAUGUUUGAAUAACAAUAUACAAAUACUUUUUCUCUCAAGUUAGCAUAAAACAUAUCGUACUUAUAAUCCAUUAUUCUGACAACGGGAGGAUCUGCAUCAGGGGAUAAUAUCACCUGCAAAAGUGGUAUUAAAACAAUUUUCAGUAUCACCAUUACACACACAAGAAGUUCAAAGAAACUUCGAUUUCUAAGAGAAAAAUUAUAAGUUUCAAUGUACUUGGCAUAGGCUACUUAAUUCUAAUCACUUAAAAAAAUAAAAUAAAGAAUAAGAAAGAACCCAAAGCAAAAAACUGAGACAACGAACAGGUACGAGUAUAACAAAAUACCAACUUGAAUUUCCCUACACAAUCUUUUUUUUUUUAUCCUAAGGUAUCUACUUAUAACAGAGCAGAUUGUAGGUUCAUAGUACCUUUGCCAAAGACCAGCAUAGCAUCAAUCACUAGCUUGAACAUGUGGUUGAUCUUUUCAUAUUAUUCUCUUUCUACUCACCAUUUUGACAUCCAGUUUUCUCAAGAGAAAUAAAACAACCCGACUAAAAUGUCCUACCAUGAAGUUUAAGGAUAUAAGCUAGCAUCUAGAGACUUAUGCAACAGAAGAAAAAUUGGCAAAACAAAUUACCAAAUAUGAAUAAACGAAUCCAAUAUCCUGAACUGAAAAAACCCAAACUACAAUGACACCGAUACCUUCUCAAGCAAGUUGCUUGUAUAUGCCUAUUCUAGCAUGCAACAAAUGUAAGCAACUAUGAUAUCGUUGUUCUGUCUUCUAACCAUUUAUUAAACUUUCGCUCUUCCACUUCUAGCAAGCAGACACAAGGUUUUAAACAAGCACUUCACUCAACGUUCAUGUAACCACAAAAGAAGAACUAGAAUAACGCUGAUACCUAUAGCAUGGAAGUUAAAUUACAAUUGUAAAGCUUCCCAACCCCAGUAAGCUAGUUAGUGGUUUACAUACAUUCUCUCUGUAAUGUCAUAUAAUAUAAACAUGUAAUAAAACCAAUUGUAGAACAUGGGAAUGCCAAAGGCUCCAUUUGGUUAUUACCUUUAGUCCAUGCUUUUUCCAUCCAAAAGUAAUAGAAACAUGAUGUGUUUAUGCAUGAAGAAAAUAAUGUUUUUGAAAUUGUUACAAAUUAAAACACAUUCAACUUUUGUCAAGAAAAAUUCGCAACUCUACUGAAAAUAUCCUGCUACCAACACAACUAUAUAUUUACAAAAACAAAUGGAAAAGCUAAGUGUCCCUCACAAGCAAAAAAAUUACAAAUUCUCCAGUUUGUAGAAAUGGAUAAGUUCUUGUCAUUGACAUGGUAAGGCAAAUCACUAAGUCAAAAACUCAGAGUCAAGAGUCAAGAAAGAAGAGAAUAUUAACAGAAACCGAGAAAAACAUACCAAAUCGAGCCCUGCAUCUUCAGCCAUUUGAAUAGCCUGGCUUUUAGAGACUAUCCCAAUCUACAGAUUAAGAAAUUUAAUCAAAUUUUCAACUGAUAAAAGAAUUUCAAUGUAAUGCACAAAAUGCCUUCUUAGCAUUUAAAAGUGAAAAAAGAGAUGAAGGAAAAUUCAACUAACCAUACUUUGCUCCUCAUCAAUAAGUCUGACAGAAUCCGACCUAAAACCAUAGAAAAACACAAACAAACAUAAAUGAAGAAACGAAGCUAUCCCAAAGUUGCAGUUAAAUCAAAUAACACAAGGACAAACCUGAUGGCAGAUAAAUCAAGUGCCUGGUCUUCAUCAUUCUUCUUAGAACGACCGGGAGGCGAGAACCGAGAAUCAGCACCGUAACGGGCAUUUAUAGUAGCAGAGCAGUGAAGAGGAGAGGAGAAACUGUUAGGGUUGCGGACAUGGAUACCAAAGAG
This 9913-nucleotide long non-coding RNA is filed under the name Gossypium barbadense (sea-island cotton). Its description in RNAcentral is "long non-coding RNA (GBAR_LNC017558)". The record is from RNAcentral. Lineage: Eukaryota; Viridiplantae; Streptophyta; Magnoliopsida; Malvales; Malvaceae.